This 74-nucleotide transfer RNA is filed under the name Medicago truncatula (barrel medic). It matches the Rfam family "tRNA". Rfam says of the family: Transfer RNA (tRNA) molecules are approximately 80 nucleotides in length. Their secondary structure includes four short double-helical elements and three loops (D, anti-codon, and T loops). Further hydrogen bonds mediate the characteristic L-shaped molecular structure. tRNAs have two regions of fundamental functional importance: the anti-codon, which is responsible for specific mRNA codon recognition, and the 3' end, to which the tRNAs corresponding amino acid is attached (by aminoacyl-tRNA synthetases). tRNAs cope with the degeneracy of the genetic code in two manners: having more than one tRNA (with a specific anti-codon) for a particular amino acid; and 'wobble' base-pairing, i.e. permitting non-standard base-pairing at the 3rd anti-codon position. The record is from Rfam by way of RNAcentral. Lineage: Eukaryota; Viridiplantae; Streptophyta; Magnoliopsida; Fabales; Fabaceae.
GCUACAAUAGCUCAGUGGGUUAGAACGUGUGGACCUUAACCACAAGGUCGGAGGUUCAACCCCUCCUCCUAGUG